This 911-nucleotide ribosomal RNA is filed under the name uncultured bacterium. RNAcentral's name for it is "bacterial SSU rRNA". It matches the Rfam family "Bacterial small subunit ribosomal RNA", at positions 8 to 916 of the family's 1533-position model. The record is from RNAcentral.
AGAGUUUGAUCAUGGCUCAGGAUGAACGCUAGCGGCAGGCUUAACACAUGCAAGUCGAGGGGCAGCGAGAUGUAGCAAUACAUUGUCGGCGACCGGCGCACGGGUGCGUAACGCGUAUGCAACCUACCAUAUACAGGAGGAUAACCAUUCGAAAGAAUGCCUAAUACUCCAUAGUAUUAUAAUGAGGCAUCUCAUAAUAAUUAAAGAAUUUCGGUAUAUGCUGGGCAUGCGUGACAUUAGCUAGUUGGAGAGGUAACGGCUCACCAAGGCUACGAUGUCUAGGGGUUUUGAGAGGAAGAUCCCCCACACUGGUACUGAGACACGGACCAGACUCCUACGGGAGGCAGCAGUGAGGAAUAUUGGUCAAUGGACGGAAGUCUGAACCAGCCAUGCCGCGUGAAGGAAGACGGCCCUACGGGUUGUAAACUUCUUUUAUACGGGGAUAAACCUAUCUUUGCGAAGAUAGCUGAAGGUACCGUAUGAAUAAGCAUCGGCUAACUCCGUGCCAGCAGCCGCGGUAAUACGGAGGAUGCGAGCGUUAUCCGGAUUUAUUGGGUUUAAAGGGUGCGUAGGCGGACAAAUAAGUCAGUGGUGAAAUCACUCAGCUUAACUGAGUAACUGCCAUUGAUACUGUUAGUCUAGAAUGUAAAUGAAGUAGGCGGAAUGAAUCAUGUAGAGGUGACAUUCAUAGAUAUGAUUCAGAACACCGAUCGCGAAGGCAGCUUGCUAAGAUACAAUUGACGCUGAGGCACGAAAGCGUGGGUAGCAAACAGGAUUAGAUACCCUGGUAGUCCACGCUGUAAACGAUGAUAACUCGUUGUCGGCGAUACACAGUCGGUGACUGAGCGAAAGCGAUAAGUUAUCCACCUGGGGAGUACGAUCGCAAGGUUGAAACUCAAAGGAAUUGACGG